RNAcentral lists this ribosomal RNA (1542 nucleotides) under wastewater metagenome. RNAcentral's name for it is "bacterial LSU rRNA". It matches the Rfam family "Bacterial large subunit ribosomal RNA", at positions 813 to 2473 of the family's 2925-position model. The record is from RNAcentral.
GAUUAGGAGUGAAAAGCUAAUCGAACCCGGAGAUAGCUGGUUCUCCUCGAAAGCUAUUUAGGUAGCGCCUCAUAUGUAUCCUCUCGGGGGUAGAGCACUGUUAUGGCUAGGGGGUCAUCGCGACUUACCAAACCAUGGCAAACUCCGAAUACCGGGAAGGAAUGCAUGGGAGACACACGGCGGGUGCUAACGUCCGUCGUGGAAAGGGAAACAACCCAGAUCCACAGCUAAGGUCCCCAAUUCAGUGCUGAGUGGGAAACGAUGUGGAAAGGCAUAGACAGCCAGGAGGUUGGCUUAGAAGCAGCCACCCUUUAAAGAAAGCGUAAUAGCUCACUGGUCUAAUCAAGAAAUCCUGCGCCGAAGAUGUACCGGGGCUCAAGCCAUGCACCGAAGCUGCGGACUCGAAAGAGUGGUAGCGGAGCGUUCCGUAAGCCUGUGAAGGGAGACCCGUGAGGGCUCCUGGAGGUAUCGGAAGUGAGAAUGCUGACAUAAGUAGCGACAAAAAGCGUGAGAGACGCUUUCGCCGUAAGUCCAAGGGUUCCUGCGCAAGGUCAAUCCGCGCAGGGUUAGCCGGCCCCUAAGUCGAGGGCGACAGCCGUAGACGAUGGGAACCACGUCAAUAUUCGUGGGCCUGCUGGUGGUGACGGAUCCGAAAAGUGGCCCGAGCUCGUUGGCGAAUGCUCGGGCGGCCCAAGGGUUCCAGGAAAUAGCCCCAGCGUAUAGACCGUACCCUAAACCGACACAGGUGGACUGGUAGAGUAUACCAAGGCGCUUGAGGGAACCAUGUUGAAGGAACUAGGCAAUUUACCCCCGUAACUUCGGGAUAAGGGGGCCUCUGACGGUCUCGUCAGAGGGGCACAGACUAGGGGGUGGCGACUGUUUACCAAAAACACAGGGCUCUGCUAAGCCGUGAGGCGAAGUAUAGGGUCUGACGCCUGCCCGGUGCCGGAAGGUUAAAAGGAGAUGUGCAAGCAUCGAAUUGAAGCCCCGGUAAACGGCGGUCGUAAGUAUAACGGUCCUAAGGUAGCGAAAUUCCUUGUCGGGUAAGUUCCGACCUGCACGAAUGGCGUAACGACCUCCCCACUGUCUCCGGCAUGGGCUCAGCGAAAUUGAAUUCCCCGUGAAGAUGCGGGGUACCCGCAGUUAGACGGAAAGACCCCGUGCACCUUUACUACAACUUUGCAGUGGCAUUAGAGAAUGGAUGUGUAGGAUAGGCGGGAGCCUUUGAAGCCUGGGCGCUAGCUCGGGUGGAGGCACCCUUGAAAUACCGCCCUUUUGUUCUUUGAUGUCUAACCGAGGUCUGUCAUCCAGAUCCGGGACCCUGCAUGGUGGGUAGUUUGACUGGGGCGGUCGCCUCCCAAAGAGUAACGGAGGCGCGCGAUGGUUCCCUCAGGCUGAUUGGAAACCAGCCGUAGAGUGUAAAGGCAUAAGGGAGCUUGACUGCGAGAGAGACAUCUCGAGCAGGUACGAAAGUAGGAGUUAGUGAUCCGGCGGUAUGCAAGUGGAAGUGCCGUCGCUCAACGGAUAAAAGCUACCCUGGGG